This is a long non-coding RNA of Ahaetulla prasina, 2079 nucleotides long. RefSeq lists it as uncharacterized. The transcript has 3 exons. The record is from RefSeq and is a predicted model, not a curated record. NCBI's taxonomy places the organism in Eukaryota, Metazoa, Chordata, Lepidosauria, Squamata, Colubridae.
CCAUAUUCCUAUUAUUAUUAUUAUUAUUAUUAUUAUUAUUAUUAUUAUUAUUAUUAUUAUUAUUAUUAUUAUUAUUAUUAUUAUUAUUGGCUUCUCAAUCUUUGCAAGCCACCCAGUGACACCAAGAGUGAAUUGGGCAGCCAUUCUAAGUUUUCAUAAAUAAAUAAACAAAUUAAAUACAUGAGAGAAUUAUUGCAGGCCACUCAUUUUGGGAGGAACAAGGGACAAACUUGCAACGGGAACAUCCUCAUUUGUUCUGCAAAAACAGCUGACAUUUGAAAGGGCUACGUGCCAGGCUCUCAACACAAUUGCUUAAGAAAGCAUAUUGAAGAGAGCAGCGGGGAGGGGAAAUCGUUCACCAUCUGCCCGUAAGGAAACAACUCCAUUCGCUUUUCGAAAUGCUGAAAAGCCUGUGCCCGUUAUCCAAGACUACUAUCUCGGAAGAAUAACUUUCCAUGUCCGAACACUGGAAAAAUGUUCCGAGUUUUCCCCUUUGCAAUCUGGAUUAGGCGGAGCCCCGUUUUUCCUCUCCUGGGUUAGAUAAGCUAUGUACAGUCAAUCUGUGAUAGGAUAGAUCCAAGCUAUUGGGUCAUUAUCUUGGAAAGCAAAAAAGAAAAAAGGGAGAGAGAGAGAAUGAUUAGGGACACGGUUGGUGGGGGGGCGGAGUUGAUGGGCCGUUCCUUCUCUCACUCCCCUCCUGAAACAACACAUAUGGGAAUCGUUUUGUUUUUCAAACGGAUCGGCAGCUGUGCCGUGUCAGGUUGCGUUAGUCAGUCUGACCCAAUACGGCAUCUACAGUGCUUGAGGAAAGAGCUUAAUGGACAGGACUACGGAUGUCAACUUGGAAGCUCUGCAAUCAAGGUAGACUACUGUAUCAGCGCUACUUCCAAUGGCGACUGAUACAAAGGAAACAAUGAAAGGAACAGGGCGGGGAAAGGAAUAAACAUGGAGGGAAGACCUUCGAAACAUGAUGUAGACCAUUCUUUUUACUUCCUUUGACAACCACACUGAUAGGAAGAGGUGUUGUGUCUCGCCGGCGGUCAGCAGAGCUGGCAGCAAAGUCAGAUAGUGAGGAGGUUGGGGAGGAACGUGGGCCAGUCCUGGGGGCUGGGGAAAGCUCGGACGAGGGCUCUGUAUCGGAGUCAGAGAGGGGGCCAAGGCCAUCUGAUAGUUACGUGCAGCCUCCAGAGUCUGACAGCAGCGAGGCAGAAGAACAGCGGGAGCCUGUUCCCAGUGUGCGCAUGCGCAGAGCUGCCAGACAACAAGAACAAUUAAGGAAACAGGGUCGACUUGGGAGUAAGGCUUGGAGAUGAUUGGCCCCUCCCAUAAGAUAUAAAAGAAGAGCGAACGGGACGUGAGCUUUUGCAGGAAGCAAUAGUUCAUCUGGACGAUUCAAGAUUUGAAAAUUCUGUUUGUGACUCUGUAAAGUUUGGCCUUGCCCUGCAUCCCUCUGGCAGCAUUCCACGUGAGAUAGGAAUUUGCCUGCCUCAGAGUUCUGCAUUCAAAGGGUGCGUUACUUGGAACGCUGACAACAACCCUGUUAUAUCGUAUCUGGAGACAAGGAAGAAGAAAGCCAGUAUCCUCCCUAGGAAAGCAGAGUUAACACACAUCAUCCGCUUGGAAUAUUUUGCAAUACCAAAUUGCAAUGUUGUAAUUUGCGGCUCAUCCUUUUCCCCUCGAGGACCAAAAGAAUGCAAUUGCAAAAACAAUUGUUAAUAAGGAUAGAUAAAUCUGUCUCUUUUGACUGGACUCCGUUUCUUAUUUUUCCCCAUCUUUAGGUUUUUUUUCUAUGUGGGGGGGGGAGGAUUUUUGCACAAAAAACCCGGGUUAUUACAAAGCAUGCUUGUGGGGUCUCUGUGGCUUCUAGGGCCUCUGUGGCUCAGACUGGUAAGACAGUCUGUUAUUAACAGCAGCUGCUUGCAAUUACUGCAGGUUCAAGCCCCACCAGGCCCAAGGUUGACUCAGCCUUCCAUCCUUUAUAAGAUUCCAAGGCAAGACUACAUACCUUCACACUGGUUUCCUCUUAUCCUUGAAUAUCCUUUUGAACAUAUUGGAUCUAAAGCAAACGAGAACAAUGUC